This 35-nucleotide ribosomal RNA is filed under the name Pochonia chlamydosporia var. spinulospora. Its description in RNAcentral is "partial 18S ribosomal RNA". Lineage: Eukaryota; Fungi; Ascomycota; Sordariomycetes; Hypocreales; Clavicipitaceae. The record is from RNAcentral.
CCCUCCCGUAGGUGAACCUGCGGGAGGGAUCAUUA